Molecule: unclassified non-coding RNA, 278 nt
Filed under: Hevea brasiliensis (rubber tree)
Lineage: Eukaryota; Viridiplantae; Streptophyta; Magnoliopsida; Malpighiales; Euphorbiaceae
Source: RNAcentral
UGUCACCAGUAACUGAUUGUGUCAGGCCCACAUUAACCAUGGGCAUCAGAAUGCACAACAUUGACACUAGGCAAAAGUAAAGAAUUGUAACUUAAUUGUCAAAUGCUAGCCAAUACAUCUAUGUAAACUGUAAAUUUCCAGUGUCCCACGUCAGACACUAACUGUAGAUAUGGAAUUUGGGGAAAGCUUAUCAUAGAUGAUAGUCUAAUAUUUAUGAGUGUUAGAAUCUCUCAAUUAUUAUAAAUCCCUUAAUCGUGUAAAUUAGCUGUAAAUUAGAA